This is a non-coding RNA of Lonchura striata (white-rumped munia), 2428 nucleotides long. Lineage: Eukaryota; Metazoa; Chordata; Aves; Passeriformes; Estrildidae. The record is from RefSeq and is a predicted model, not a curated record.
GCAGCGCGGCGCGUCCCGCCCGGCCGCCGCCCCAGCCCGCGCAGCCCCCUGUGCCUGGGAGCCAUGAGCCGCCGGAGCAGCCUCCCAGCCGCAGCCCCCCGGCACUCUUAGGCUGCCCUGCUCCCCUGGAAGGUGCUCAUCGCUGGCCAGGAGAACUGGCUGCACCUGCACCCAGCCUCCUGCAUCCCUCCCAAGGUUCCUUGUCUCACCAGCAGGUCCUUGUAGGAUUUCAGCUCUGGUAAGUGCAGUUGUGUUUUCUCCUCCCUGAGCCUGUUGCGAAAGUGUUGCAUGGGGUUGGAAGGGCACUGGGGCUGGGCACCACCACUGCUCCCCAGGCAGGGGGAAGAGCCUGAGUGUGCCCCUGUUAAGGAGCCAGUUCCUGCUGCUCUUCACCCCAGAAUUAUUUCCCCUGUGUGUGAAAAUGCUCUGAGAUAUGUCUGUCAGUGUCCUCCCAUAGUCCGUGAAGGGAAACAGUGUGGGCAUCUUUAAUCCUUCCUGGGUAAUCUUUGUUGGAUGGGAACUGAAACCCUUGGUGAUUGGCAUGAUGAUUGUAAUAAAAACUGGGAGGUAUUUCCACUGGCUGUGACUCAGGGGACCUUUGGAACAAUAAGAAGGUGAACUGAUGGGUGGAGGGAGAGCACAACCUGCCUGGGGACCUUUGCACAGGAGCCAGGCCUAGAGGAGCAUUUAGGACCUGAAAGAAAUGUGAAUGUCAGAAGCUGCAGUCCUGGCUGCAAGCUAGCAUUGUCACCUAUAACCUUUCCAGGGAUGUGCUCCUCUCAGGCCACCCUCUCUGCCACCAGCCACCCAGCCGACUCUCCUCAGGGACUAGUGGGUAGAAGGAUAACAUUUCUGGGCUUUCUCAGGCUCAAGUCCCUGUGCCAUUCAGUGUUUGAUGUUUUCACACUUGUAAAGUCCCCAUGGGUUUUCUAACCUUACCUUUAACCCAGCAGAAAGGGUCCUGGUUCUGUGCUGAGGUAAAUCAGCAGGGGUGUCUUGCAAUCAGCACUGCUGCCAUGUAUUGUGUCAUCUUAACCUUUGUCCUCUUGAUGUGUUUUUUUUUAAAAAAGUAUGCAUUUAUCCAAAAAAGCAUUCUCUUUCUUUGAUGCUAUCUGUUGGUUUGAAAAUUAAAUCCCAUGGAAGGCAUUGACAUCAGCCAUGUGCUCAAGGAUUUGCCACUGAUGUCCCAGGUUGCAUGGCCUCAUUGAACUUGAAGGGUUUUCUUUUCUUUAGCUGCAAAUGUCUCAUUGGGGCCUACAAUUAUUGAAGGGAGGAUUGUUAUGGUGAUCUCAGGGUUUUGGGGUGCUGCUGGCAUGACCUUGCUCUGAGACAGAGCUGUUCUAGAAUGGGGACACCGCUGUCUGGGGCAUAUGUAACCAUGGCAGGGGGCAAUGAAGGUCCCUGGUGCCUGGGGACCUGCCCUGAUGUCCUCUGCUUGUGCAUCCAUCUCACCCCAGGGCAUCGGGCAUGGUGUGAGCUUACCCCAAAAGCCAUUCCUCACUCCGAAAGUGUGCAGAGACUCCUCAUCCAUGAUGCUUUGCUCGUGACCUUGGCAGCCUCAGCAGGGAGCAGCUCAGGCCCUUGGGAGAGCUGUGCUAUGUUGAGGAAGCAGCACUGCCAGACUCCAGCACGUGGAGAAACUCCAGACAAUAGGCUGAUGAACCAAUCGAGAUUUUUCUGUGUCAGGGCUGUGUUACGUUGGGAAGUGAACAUACAGCUCUGUCUUCCCAGACAAUUCCUGCAGGAACAGCUCUGGCCACAAUCCCUCCAGCAGCAAAAAGCAAGUGUCUGUAGCUGCAGAGUGGGGACAGGCAAGACAGGACCCAUUGGUCCUCCAAAAAGGGGAGAAAGUGGAAAAUGGCUUGGAGGAGGGGGCAGUGGGGGAGAAGUGGCCAUGGUGGUAGAACUGCCUCUCCUGACACAACAUAAUCAGCUCAUGGCUUCUUCUCCCCAAUCCUCCUAUACCCCUCCCACUGCACAUCUCUCCCCAGACGUGGCCAUGUGUGUUUGCAGAGAUAAAAGCUCUCUUCCCACACAGGCUCUUCUUCCCCAGCAUCCUUAAUCAUGAGCCAAUGUGGCAAACAGCCUUCCUGAGAGAAGCCCUGGGCUUGGCUCUUCACUCUCCCUCCCUGCCUCCUGCCUUUUCCCUCGGCUCCCGCUCUGUCCCGCACCCCGGGGCUCCCCCACACCCCUGCAGCCUGCACAGCCAUCACGUGCCACUGAUAAACGAGCUUCAUCUGCACCCAAAAUUAAUCACAUUGUCAUGCUGGCAGGGGAUGAGGCAGCUGUGCCGAAAUGCCUGAAUCCCUGGCUAAUUUAUCACAGGGGCUGGAUGCAGAGCUGCUCCGCAGCUCCUGCCGCAUGGGGACAUGCUCCGGAGAGGCAGAUGGUGACAGGGAGCUGUGAGGCCUGGGAGUGAAUGCUCAGG